RNAcentral lists this ribosomal RNA (1119 nucleotides) under uncultured bacterium. RNAcentral describes it as "bacterial SSU rRNA". It matches the Rfam family "Bacterial small subunit ribosomal RNA", at positions 353 to 1482 of the family's 1533-position model. The record is from RNAcentral.
AGUGAGGAAUAUUGGGCAAUGGACGCAAGUCUGACCCAGCCAUGUCGCGUGCAGGAUGACAGUCUUAUGGGUUGUAAACUGCUUUUAUACAGGAAGAAACCCCCCGACGUGUCGGGGGCUGACGGUACUGUAUGAAUAAGCAUCGGCUAACUCCGUGCCAGCAGCCGCGGUAAUACGGAGGAUGCAAGCGUUAUCCGGAUUUAUUGGGUUUAAAGGGUGCGUAGGCGGGAGAUUAAGUCAGUGGUGAAAUCCUGCAGCUUAACUGCAGAACUGCCAUUGAUACUGGUUUCCUUGAGUACAGUUGAGGUGGGCGGAAUGUGUAGUGUAGCGGUGAAAUGCUUAGAUAUUACACAGAACACCAAUUGCGUAGGCAGCUCACUAAACUGUUACUGACGCUGAGGCACGAAAGCGUGGGGAGCAAACAGGAUUAGAUACCCUGGUAGUCCACGCUGUAAACGAUGAUCACUCGUUGUUGGCGAUAUACAGUCAGCGACUAAGCGAAAGCAUUAAGUGAUCCACCUGGGGAGUACGAUCGCAAGAUUGAAACUCAAAGGAAUUGACGGGGGCCCGCACAAGCGGAGGAACAUGUGGUUUAAUUCGAUGAUACGCGAGGAACCUUACCUGGGCUUAAAUGCAGUAUGACUUCCGCCGAAAGGUGGAUUCCCUUCGGGGCAAAUUGCAAGGUGCUGCAUGGUUGUCGUCAGCUCGUGCCGUGAGGUGUCGGGUUAAGUCCCAUAACGAGCGCAGCCCCUAUCGUUAGUUGCCAGCGAGUAAUGUCGGGGACUCUAGCGAAACUGCCGGUGUAAACCGUGAGGAAGGUGGGGAUGACGUCAAAUCAGCACGGCCCUUAUGUCCAGGGCUACACACGUGUUACAAUGGCCGGUACAAAGGGUAGCUACCUGGUGACAGGAUGCUAAUCUCUAAAGCUGGUCUCAGUUCGGAUCGAAGUCUGCAAUUCGACUUCGUGAAGGUGGAUUCGCUAGUAAUCGCGCAUCAGCAACGGCGCGGUGAAUACGUUCCCGGGCCUUGUACACACCGCCCGUCAAGCCAUGGAAGCCGGGGGUGCCUGAAGUCCGUAACCGUAAGGAGCGGCCUAGGGUAAAACUGGUGACUGGGGCU